ACGAACGCUGGCGGCGUGCUUAACACCUGCCAGUCGUACGGUAAGGCCCUUUCGGGGGUACACGAGUGGCGAACGGGUGAGUAACACGUGAGUAACCUGCCCACAACUUUGGGAUAACGCUAGGAAACUGGUGCUAAUACUGGAUAUGUGCUCCUUCUGCAUGGUGGGGGUUGGAAAGCUCCGGCGGUUGUGGAUGGACUCGCGGCCUAUCAGCUUGUUGGUGGGGUAGUGGCCUACCAAGGCGGCGACGGGUAGCCGGCCUGAGAGGGUGACCGGCCACAGUGGGACUGAGAUACGGCCCAGACUCCUACGGGAGGCAGCAGUGGGGAAGAUUGAACAAUGGGCGCAAGCCUGAUGCAGCAACGCCGCGGGCGGGAGGACGGCCUUCGGGUUGUAAACCGCUUUCAGCAGGGACGAAGCUUUUUGUGACGGUACCUGCAGAAGAAGCACCGGCUAACUACGUG
This 464-nucleotide ribosomal RNA is filed under the name uncultured bacterium. RNAcentral's name for it is "partial 16S ribosomal RNA". It matches the Rfam family "Bacterial small subunit ribosomal RNA", at positions 29 to 507 of the family's 1533-position model. The record is from RNAcentral.